UACGUAGGGUGCAAGCGUUGUCCGGAAUUAUUGGGCGUAAAGAGCUCGUAGGCGGCUUGUCGCGUCGGCUGUGAAAUUUCGGGGCUCAACCCCGAACUUGCAGUGGGUACGGGCAGACUAGAGUGUGGUAGGGGAGACUGGAAUUCCUGGUGUAGCGGUGAAAUGCGCAGAUAUCAGGAGGAACACCGAUGGCGAAGGCAGGUCUCUGGGCCAUAACUGACGCUGAGAAGCGAAAGCAUGGGGAGCGAACAGG
Molecule: ribosomal RNA, 253 nt
Filed under: uncultured bacterium
Lineage: Bacteria
Description: partial 16S ribosomal RNA
Rfam family: Bacterial small subunit ribosomal RNA
Source: RNAcentral